UGGCCAAUAGUCUAAUGGUAAGACAAUUACUUUUUAAUUAAUUUAUACUGGUUCGAUUCCUGUUUAGCCUA
Molecule: transfer RNA, 71 nt
Filed under: Metschnikowia continentalis
Lineage: Eukaryota; Fungi; Ascomycota; Pichiomycetes; Serinales; Metschnikowiaceae
Description: tRNA-Lys
Rfam family: tRNA
About the family: Transfer RNA (tRNA) molecules are approximately 80 nucleotides in length.
Source: RNAcentral